RNAcentral lists this ribosomal RNA (406 nucleotides) under uncultured bacterium. Its description in RNAcentral is "partial 16S ribosomal RNA". It matches the Rfam family "Bacterial small subunit ribosomal RNA", at positions 30 to 526 of the family's 1533-position model. The record is from RNAcentral.
AUUGAACGCUGGCGGCAGGCCUAACACAUGCAAGUCGAACGAGUGGCGGACGGGUGAGUAAUGCUUGGGAAUCUACCUGAUGGAGGGGGAUAACUACGGGAAACUGUAGCUAAUACCGCAUACCAUCGGAUGAGCCCAGGUGGGAUUAGGUAGUUGGUGGGGUAAAGGCUCACCAAGGCGACGAUCCCUAGCUGGUCUGAGAGGAUGACCAGCCACACUGGGACUGAGACACGGCCCAGACUCCUACGGGAGGCAGCAGUGGGGAAUAUUGCACAAUGGGGGCAAGCCUGACGCAGCCAUGCCGCGUGAAUGAAGAAGGCCUUCGGGUUGUAAAGUUCUUUCAGUAGGGAGGCGUUAACUACAGAAGAAGCACCGGCUAACUCCGUGCCAGCAGCCGCGGUAAUUC